RNAcentral lists this transfer RNA (69 nucleotides) under Cocculina subcompressa. RNAcentral describes it as "tRNA-Thr". It matches the Rfam family "tRNA". Rfam says of the family: Transfer RNA (tRNA) molecules are approximately 80 nucleotides in length. Their secondary structure includes four short double-helical elements and three loops (D, anti-codon, and T loops). Further hydrogen bonds mediate the characteristic L-shaped molecular structure. tRNAs have two regions of fundamental functional importance: the anti-codon, which is responsible for specific mRNA codon recognition, and the 3' end, to which the tRNAs corresponding amino acid is attached (by aminoacyl-tRNA synthetases). tRNAs cope with the degeneracy of the genetic code in two manners: having more than one tRNA (with a specific anti-codon) for a particular amino acid; and 'wobble' base-pairing, i.e. permitting non-standard base-pairing at the 3rd anti-codon position. The record is from RNAcentral. Lineage: Eukaryota; Metazoa; Mollusca; Gastropoda; Cocculinidae.
GCAAUAAAAGCUAAAAUUAGAAGCAACGGUCUUGUAAACCGAAGAUUAGAGAAUUUUCUCUUUAUUGCU